GCCCUUUCGGGGGUACACGAGCGGCGAACGGGUGAGUAACACGUGAGCAACCUACCCUCAACUUCGGGAUAAGCCUCGGAAACGGGGUCUAAUACCGGAUAUCAUCACAGGCUUCAUGGUUUGUGGUUGAAAGUUCUGGCGGUUGGGGAUGGGCUCGCGGCCUAUCAGCUUGUUGGUGGGGUAAUGGCCUACCAAGGCGUCGACGGGUAGCCGGCCUGAGAGGGCGACCGGCCACACUGGGACUGAGACACGGCCCAGACUCCUACGGGAGGCAGCAGUGGGGAAUAUUGCGCAAUGGACGAAAGUCUGACGCAGCAACGCCGCGUGAGGGAUGACGGCCUUCGGGUUGUAAACCUCUUUCAGCAGGGACGAAGCGAGAGUGACGGUACCUGCAGAAGAAGGACCGGCCAACUACGUGCCAGCAGCCGCGGUAAUACGUAGGGUCCGAGCGUUGUCCGGAAUUAUUGGGCGUAAAGGGCUCGUAGGCGGUUCGUCACGUCGGGAGUGAAAACUCGGAGCUUAACUCCGAGCCUGCUUCCGAUACGGGCAGACUAGAGGUAGGCAGGGGAGAGCGGAACUCCUGGUGUAGCGGUGGAAUGCGCAGAUAUCAGGAAGAACACCGGUGGCGAAGGCGGCUCUCUGGGCCUUACCUGACGCUGAGGAGCGAAAGCGUGGGUAGCGAACAGGAUUAGAUACCCUGGUAGUCCACGCCGUAAACGUUGGGCGCUAGGUGUGGGGGA
Molecule: ribosomal RNA, 740 nt
Filed under: Kribbella antibiotica
Lineage: Bacteria; Bacillati; Actinomycetota; Actinomycetes; Propionibacteriales; Kribbellaceae
Description: bacterial SSU rRNA
Rfam family: Bacterial small subunit ribosomal RNA
Source: RNAcentral